GGCACCAACACGUACGCAUGCCUUAGUAAUUUCCUGGCAGAGAGCACAAUUGAAGUUUUCAUGGAUACGGAGAUUAGAAAGUCUAAAUAUCCGAAGUCUCUGCAAUAUGUCGAAUAAGAGAUUAGCAUCUUGACGGUUCGCACAACUUUGUAUUAGGGACCACAACCAGGCAUUGGGCGGAGCACUUCUUUGAUCCACGACAGACUUCAGUAUCUUGUCAUACAAUUCCUUCACAGACUCUGUCACGCUACUUUCAACUGUCCCUGCUUCCGUAGAAAAUGAUGCCCUAAGCAUCACAGUGCAUUUCUGACACCGACAUACAUUUCCCUGAAGAUUGCAUUCUUUUUUCAUAUACUUUCCAUAAAUCGUACCAGAGAUAAAGUAACCACGCCAUUGAGAAGAAGAUUGAAUAUCUUCAGGAGAUAGAACACGCGACACUGAGUUGAACAAAAUCGGAGAGGAUGAGCGUCUCAAAACCCUAGCAAGUUGGUGAGCCUUCAAA
RNAcentral lists this unclassified non-coding RNA (502 nucleotides) under Hevea brasiliensis (rubber tree). Lineage: Eukaryota; Viridiplantae; Streptophyta; Magnoliopsida; Malpighiales; Euphorbiaceae. The record is from RNAcentral.